Molecule: transfer RNA, 64 nt
Filed under: Cylisticus convexus
Lineage: Eukaryota; Metazoa; Arthropoda; Malacostraca; Isopoda; Cylisticidae
Description: tRNA-Asp
Source: RNAcentral
AAAAAGCUAGUUAAAGAAAUAAUAUUAGGUUGUCAACCUUAAGAUUGUUGGAAUCCCGCAGAUA